CAGCCGCCGCGGUAAAACGUAGGUCCCGAGCGUUGUCCGGAUUUAUUGGGCGUAAAGCGAGCGCAGGCGGUUAGAUAAGUCUGAAGUUAAAGGCUGUGGCUUAACCAUAGUACGCUUUGGAAGCUGUUUAACUUGAGUGCAAGAGGGGAGAGUGGAAUUCCAUGUGUAGCGGUGAAAUGCGUAGAUAUAUGGAGGAACACCGGUGGCGAAAGCGGCUCUCUGGCUUGUAACUGACGCUGAGGCUCGAAAGCGUGGGUAGCGAACAGGAUUAGAUACCCGAGUAGUCCCUGUCUCUUAUACA
Molecule: ribosomal RNA, 301 nt
Filed under: uncultured bacterium
Lineage: Bacteria
Description: partial 16S ribosomal RNA
Rfam family: Bacterial small subunit ribosomal RNA
Source: RNAcentral